Molecule: long non-coding RNA, 2295 nt
Organism: Juglans microcarpa x Juglans regia
Lineage: Eukaryota; Viridiplantae; Streptophyta; Magnoliopsida; Fagales; Juglandaceae
Exons: 4
Source: RefSeq, a predicted model, not a curated record
GAAGAACACCCGUUAAUACGACUUGCCACCCCUCGCAGGAAAAUCAGCCCAGAACUCGCUGCGAGCGAAAGGCCGAACCUGCAUGGAUAAUUCCCGCAUGCUCUUCCUCCAAACUCCACAAGGUAACCUUCACACUCCAGCCGUGGUUACUCAUCCGAUCUUCGACUGGUUUUUCUGGGCCAGAAUGGCUCUGAAAUCUUUCAUCGAAGUCCAUCCCGACUCCCACUUCCCCAUCCAAAACCUCCCCUACGGAGUGUUCAGGGUUGCCCGGUACAGUGGCUUGACCGGGCGUGGCGAUCGGGGACUACGUUCUGGAUUUGUCCGUGAUCGUCUCUUCCGGGCUCUUCGACGGCUCAAUCCUGAAGAACUCCGAUUGCUUCUCUCAGCCUGAUUUAAACAAGUUCCUGGCUAUGGGACGUCCUGCUUGGAAAGAAGCUCGUGCUUUGCUUCGGAGACUAUUGUCAUUGUGAAAACAUGUAAAGAAUGAAAUACAAUGCACUCAAGAUGCUCGAGAAAAUGAUACAACCAGAGAGGAAAAUUUUCCUUUGUAUUUCGUAUUCUCCAACCUACUGUUCAUUACAUCUAUGUGCUAUUUAUAUCAGAAACUUUCCAAAGAAUUAGAUUACAUCAACGGUUCAGAUUUACACAAAUGAUUGUAAAUGAUAUUUUAGACCUAGGACACUUGUAGCUCUUUCAUUGGUUCUCUUGAAGACGCUUUUGGAAGAUGCUCUUUGUAGCCGUUGUGCAUGAGUCUGUUGUUUGCUUCUGGCUGUGGUCUGUGCUGUCUGGUACAGCAAUUUGGGUAUGAGCCUUGCCAUGCGCAUUACCAUACGUUGUGGCUGCAGAGUUUGUCGUUGCUUCAAUAGUCAUGUAUACCAACUAUCAGUUUGUGGUAUUAAUACCCUUCGGUGCUUCAUGUCAGUGGUGUUGUUUCAUGUUUGUCUGAUAUUUGAUGCUAUAUUGACAAGAAGUUGGUUUUGACAGCUACAGACAUUCAGGCAUGGAAUAUGUUCCUCUCGGCCCUUUUCUUGGAAAGAGUUUUGGAAAAAGAUGAAAUUUUAUUACUCCAAUUUUCAAAAUUCAUCUGGCAAACUUGAAGGUCAGGAUACACACACUAUGUCUACCUGCUGUCUCACUAAGGAUUGCACAUGUACUUUGCAUACAAGUGGUUCUUUAGUCUGUGGAGAACUGAAUCAAUUUUGUUUACAUACUCUUUUCAGGCACUACAAUAUCCCCAUAGAUUGUAACGUUAGAUGCUCUUGAACCUUUUGCUUGUGAUGCUCCCAAACAGGACCCUCCUCCUUUGCCAUAUCUGGCUGAAAAACAUCCAAGAACUAUGACAUUGCAUUGGAGGCAGUAUAUACUUCAAUGCUCUCGUUUUGCAGAUUGUCUUCCUUCUAUAUCAUGAUCCAGUGUUCCUCUGUUUCAAGUGAUCAAUUUGCUGUUCCAAAGAUGAUUGCAUUCUCAAGAGAAAUAUGAAACUGUACUCUUCUUGCAAGGUUCAAAUUAAACCCGCUGGACACAAAGAUUCGUGUGUGGUUGCAAAAAGCAAUUUCAAAAAUUUGUAAGGAGUUACAUUACAUUCAUCCUCUCUUACAGUCAACAGAAUGUUCAUAACUUCCCAGUAAAUAGAAAGCUUUAGAUAGUUUUAUUUCUAUAUGGAUCCUUUUUGGUAUUCUAUAUGCACAUAUUUUUGCAGUUGUGUAUAUUAUGAGUUGGUGUUUCUUUUAGGCAUCUUGAACUACUUUUACUUGUAUUUAGAUAUUAGACAUUAACUCAACAGCUUGCUUACCACACCAUUAAUGGUUGCAACUGAAGGCCUGGCGAUCUCCUUGGAACUGGGACCAUCAGUGGACCUGUAUGGUUUCAUCUUAUCUGUUUAUUUUUAAUUUUACUUUCGUACAAUCAUAAUGCUGGAAUUCUGAUAAUUUUGUAUUCAAAUGACUGUAACUUAACUUUGAAGCCUGCAAUUCCUGUUUUGUACAAAAUAUAAGUUCAGCCACUACUUGUGCCUCCCGCGACAGGAGCCAGAAUCUCUUGGAUGCUUGCUAGAGUUUAACGUGGAAUGGACAGAAACCACUAUCCUUGAAUGGGACACCUCGAAAAUUCCUAGAAGAUGGAGAUGAAGUCAUUUUUAAUGGAUUUUGCAAGGGAAAUGGUUAUAAUGCUGGGUUUGGGGCAUGUUCUGGAAAGAUUAUUCCAUCACGUCCUUGAGGAUGAUGAUGUUUUCUUGAUAUUAUAGUGGUUAACAUUUUCCUUUGGUUUAUAUAUAUAUAUAUUUUUUUUCUUGUAUAU